AGACUUUGAUCCUGGCUCAGAUUGAACGCUGGCGGAAUGCUUUACACAUGCAAGUCGAACGGCAGCACGGGAGCUUGCUCCUGGUGGCGAGUGGCGAACGGGUGAGUAAUGCGUCGGAACGUACCGAGUAAUGGGGGAUAACGCACCGAAAGGUGUGCUAAUACCGCAUACGCCCUGAGGGGGAAAGUGGGGGAUCGUAAGACCUCACGUUAUUCGAGCGGCCGACGUCUGAUUAGCUAGUUGGUGGGGUAAAGGCCUACCAAGGCGACGAUCAGUAGCGGGUCUGAGAGGAUGAUCCGCCACACUGGGACUGAGACACGGCCCAGACUCCUACGGGAGGCAGCAGUGGGGAAUUUUGGACAAUGGGGGCAACCCUGAUCCAGCCAUUCCGCGUGAGUGAAGAAGGCCUUCGGGUUGUAAAGCUCUUUCAGCUGGAACGAAACGGUGCGCUCUAACAUAGCGUGCUAAUGACGGUACCAGCAGAAGAAGCACCGGCUAACUACGUGCCAGCAGCCGCGGUAAUACGUAGGGUGCGAGCGUUAAUCGGAAUUACUGGGCGUAAAGCGUGCGCAGGCGGAUUGUUAAGCAAG
This 590-nucleotide ribosomal RNA is filed under the name uncultured beta proteobacterium. RNAcentral describes it as "bacterial SSU rRNA". It matches the Rfam family "Bacterial small subunit ribosomal RNA", at positions 8 to 591 of the family's 1533-position model. The record is from RNAcentral. Lineage: Bacteria; Pseudomonadati; Pseudomonadota; Betaproteobacteria.